CAACCGGGAUUGCCUUAGUAACGGCGAGUGAAGCGGCAAAAGCUCAAAUUUGAAAUCUGGUACCUUUGGUGCCCGAGUUGUAAUUUGGAGAGGGCAACUUUGGGACCGUUCCUUGUCUAUGUUCCUUGGAACAGGACGUCAUAGAGGGUGAGAAUCCCGUGUGGCGAGGAGUGCGGUUCUAUGUAAAGUGCCUUCGAAGAGUCGAGUUGUUUGGGAAUGCAGCUCUAAGUGGGUGGUAAAUUCCAUCUAAAGCUAAAUAUUGGCGAGAGACCGAUAGCGAACAAGUACAGUGAUGGAAAGAUGAAAAGAACUUUGAAAAGAGAGUGAAAAAGUACGUGAAAUUGUUGAAAGGGAAGGGCAUUUGAUCAGACAUGGUGUUUUGCGCCCUCUGCUCCUUGUGGGUGGGGGAAUCUCGCAGUUCACUGGGCCAGCAUCAGUUUUGGUGGCAGGAUAAAUCCGUAGGAAUGUAACUUGCUUCGGGAAGUAUUAUAGCCUAUGGGAAUACUGCCAACUGGGACUGAGGACUGCGACGUAAGUCAAGGAUGCUGGCAUAAUG
RNAcentral lists this ribosomal RNA (556 nucleotides) under Saccharomyces pastorianus. RNAcentral describes it as "partial 26S ribosomal RNA". It matches the Rfam family "Eukaryotic large subunit ribosomal RNA", at positions 66 to 636 of the family's 3401-position model. The record is from RNAcentral. Lineage: Eukaryota; Fungi; Ascomycota; Saccharomycetes; Saccharomycetales; Saccharomycetaceae.